UACGGGGGGAGCAAGCGUUGUUCGGAUUUACUGGGCGUAAAGGGCGCGUAGGCGGCGCAACAAGUCACUUGUGAAAUCUCCGGGCUUAACUCGGAAAGGUCAAGUGAUACUGUUAUGCUAGAGUGCGGAAGGGGAAACUGGAAUUCUCGGUGUAGCGGUGAAAUGCGUAGAUAUCGAGAGGAACACCGGCGGCGAAGGCGGGUUGCUGGGCCGACACUGACGCUGAGGAGCGAAAGCCUGGGGAGCGAACAGG
This 253-nucleotide ribosomal RNA is filed under the name uncultured bacterium. RNAcentral describes it as "partial 16S ribosomal RNA". It matches the Rfam family "Bacterial small subunit ribosomal RNA", at positions 524 to 776 of the family's 1533-position model. The record is from RNAcentral.